GGAAGCGUGGCCGAGUGGUUUAUGGCGCUGGUCUUGAAAACCAGAAAUGGAUUUCCAUUCGUGAGUUCGAAUCUCACCGCUUCCGCCA
Molecule: transfer RNA, 88 nt
Filed under: Deltaproteobacteria bacterium
Lineage: Bacteria; Pseudomonadati; Myxococcota; Myxococcia
Description: tRNA-Ser
Rfam family: tRNA
About the family: Transfer RNA (tRNA) molecules are approximately 80 nucleotides in length. Their secondary structure includes four short double-helical elements and three loops (D, anti-codon, and T loops).
Source: RNAcentral